This 362-nucleotide ribosomal RNA is filed under the name uncultured bacterium. Its description in RNAcentral is "partial 16S ribosomal RNA". It matches the Rfam family "Bacterial small subunit ribosomal RNA", at positions 338 to 697 of the family's 1533-position model. The record is from RNAcentral.
CCUACGGGAGGCAGCAGUGAGGAAUAUUGGUCAAUGGCCGGAAGUCUGAACCAGCCAUGCCGCGUGAAGGACGAAGGUGCUAAGCAUUGUAAACUUCUUUUGUCAAGGGACAAACUCAGGUACGCGUGUCUGUCUGAAAGUAUCUGACGAAUAAGCAUCGGCUAACUCCGUGCCAGCAGCCGCGGUAAUACGGAGGAUGCGAGCGUUAUCCGGAUUUAUUGGGUUUAAAGGGUGCGUAGGCGGUCGGUUAAGUUAGCGGUGAAAGCCCGGGGCUCAACUUCGGCAGUGCCGUUGAUCCUGUCUGGCUUGAGAGGAGGUGAGGUAUGCGGAAUGCGCGGUGUAGCGGUGAAAUGCUUAGAGAU